UACGAAGGGGGCUAGCGUUGUUCGGAAUUACUGGGCGUAAAGCGCACGUAGGCGGCUUGGCAAGUCGGAUGUGAAAGCCCUCGGCUCAACCAAGGAAGUGCAUCCGAAACUGCUGAGCUUGAGUACUUAAGAGGAUCGCGGAAUUCCCGGUGUAGAGGUGAAAUUCGUAGAUAUCGGGAGGAACACCAGUGGCGAAGGCGGCGAUCUGGGAAGAUACUGACGCUGAGGUGCGAAAGCGUGGGGAGCAAACAGG
RNAcentral lists this ribosomal RNA (253 nucleotides) under uncultured bacterium. RNAcentral's name for it is "partial 16S ribosomal RNA". It matches the Rfam family "Bacterial small subunit ribosomal RNA", at positions 524 to 776 of the family's 1533-position model. The record is from RNAcentral.